UACGUAGGGAGCAAGCGUUAUCCGGAUUUAUUGGGUGUAAAGGGUGCGUAGACGGGAAAUUAAGUUAGUUGUGAAAUCCCUCGGCUCAACUGAGGAACUGCAACUAAAACUGAUUUUCUUGAGUGCUGGAGAGGAAAGUGGAAUUCCUAGUGUAGCGGUGAAAUGCGUAGAUAUUAGGAAGAACACCAGUGGCGAAGGCGGCUCACUGGUCCGGUACUGACGCUGAGGUGCGAAAGCGUGGGGAGCAAACAGG
Molecule: ribosomal RNA, 253 nt
Filed under: uncultured bacterium
Lineage: Bacteria
Description: partial 16S ribosomal RNA
Rfam family: Bacterial small subunit ribosomal RNA
Source: RNAcentral